CGGCAGCUACCAUGCAGUCGAGCGGCAGCGGAAGUAGCUUGCUACUUUGCCGGCGAGCGGCGGACGGGUGAGUAAUGUCUGGGAAACUGCCUGAUGGAGGGGGAUAACUACUGGAAACGGUAGCUAAUACCGCAUAACGUCGCAAGACCAAAGAGGGGGACCUUCGGGCCUCUUGCCAUCAGAUGUACCCAGAUGGGAUUAGCUAGUAGGUGGGGUAACGGCUCACCUAGGCGACGAUCCCUAGCUGGUCUGAGAGGAUGACCAGCCACACUGGAACUGAGACACGGUCCAGACUCCUACGGGAGGCAGCAGUGGGGAAUAUUGCACAAUGGGCGCAAGCCUGAUGCAGCCAUGCCGCGUGUAUGAAGAAGGCCUUCGGGUUGUAAAGUACUUUCAGCGGCGGGGAGGAAGGCGUUGAGGUUAAUAACCUCAGCGAUUGACGUUACCCGCAGAAGAAGCACCGGCUAACUCCGUGCCAGCAGCCGCGGUAAUACGGAGGGUGCAAGCGUUAAUCGGAAUUACUGGGCGUAAAGCGCACGCAGGCGGUCUGUCAAGUCGGAUGUGAAAUCCCCGGGCUCAACCUGGGAACUGCAUUCGAAACUGGCAGCUAGAGUCUUGUAGAGGGGGGUAGAAUUCCAGGUGUAGCGGUGAAAUGCGUAGAGAUCUGGAGGAAUACCGGGUGGCGAAGCGGCCCCCGGACCAAAGACUGACGCUCAGUGCGAAAGCGUGGGGAAGCAAACAGGAUUAGAUACCCUGGUUAGUCCACGCCGUAAACGAUUGUUCGACUUGGAAGGUUGUGGCCCUUUGAGGCGUGGCUUUCCG
This 822-nucleotide ribosomal RNA is filed under the name uncultured bacterium. Its description in RNAcentral is "bacterial SSU rRNA". It matches the Rfam family "Bacterial small subunit ribosomal RNA", at positions 40 to 857 of the family's 1533-position model. The record is from RNAcentral.